UACGUAGGGUGCAAGCGUUAAUCGGAAUUACUGGGCGUAAAGCGUGCGCAGGCGGUUCUAUAAGACAGAUGUGAAAUCCCCGGGCUCAACCUGGGAACUGCAUUUGUGACUGUAGAGCUGGAGUACGGUAGAGGGGGAUGGAAUUCCGCGUGUAGCAGUGAAAUGCGUAGAUAUGCGGAGGAAUACCGAUGGCGAAGGCAGCCCCCUGGGAUAACACUGACGCUCAUGCACGAAAGCGUGGGGAGCAAACAGG
This 253-nucleotide ribosomal RNA is filed under the name uncultured bacterium. RNAcentral describes it as "partial 16S ribosomal RNA". It matches the Rfam family "Bacterial small subunit ribosomal RNA", at positions 524 to 776 of the family's 1533-position model. The record is from RNAcentral.